GACUUCGUGGUGUAACGGUAGCACAGUCGACGCGUAUUCAAGAGGUUCAGGUUCGAUUCCCGGCGAAGGCA
This 71-nucleotide transfer RNA is filed under the name Stegodyphus mimosarum. It matches the Rfam family "tRNA". Rfam says of the family: Transfer RNA (tRNA) molecules are approximately 80 nucleotides in length. Their secondary structure includes four short double-helical elements and three loops (D, anti-codon, and T loops). Further hydrogen bonds mediate the characteristic L-shaped molecular structure. tRNAs have two regions of fundamental functional importance: the anti-codon, which is responsible for specific mRNA codon recognition, and the 3' end, to which the tRNAs corresponding amino acid is attached (by aminoacyl-tRNA synthetases). tRNAs cope with the degeneracy of the genetic code in two manners: having more than one tRNA (with a specific anti-codon) for a particular amino acid; and 'wobble' base-pairing, i.e. permitting non-standard base-pairing at the 3rd anti-codon position. The record is from Rfam by way of RNAcentral. Lineage: Eukaryota; Metazoa; Arthropoda; Arachnida; Araneae; Eresidae.